CCCGGCGUAAUACGGAGGGUGCAAGCGUUAAUCGGAAUUACUGGGCGUAAAGCGCACGCAGGCGGUCUGUCAAGUCGGAUGUGAAAUCCCCGGGCUCAACCUGGGAACUGCAUUCGAAACUGGCAGGCUAGAGUCUUGUAGAGGGGGGUAGAAUUCCAGGUGUAGCGGUGAAAUGCGUAGAGAUCUGGAGGAAUACCGGUGGCGAAGGCGGCCCCCUGGACAAAGACUGACGCUCAGGUGCGAAAGCGUGGGGAGCAAACAGGAUUAGAUACCCUGGUAGUCCACGCCGUAAACGAUGUCGACUUGGAGGUUGUGCCCUUGAGGCGUGGCUUCCGGAGCUAACGCGUUAAGUCGACCGCCUGGGGAGUACGGCCGCAAGGUUAAAACUCAAAGGAAUUGACGGAAGGGC
This 409-nucleotide ribosomal RNA is filed under the name uncultured bacterium. RNAcentral's name for it is "bacterial SSU rRNA". It matches the Rfam family "Bacterial small subunit ribosomal RNA", at positions 514 to 922 of the family's 1533-position model. The record is from RNAcentral.